AGCCUAGGGUUCAUGUCACUCUGCCUCUCUCUUAUCUUGAGAAACAACAAGUUAGGUGGGAAUUUUUACGGCGGCCCUGUCCUUUCUCUGUCCCCUUCCAUCAUGUGGCGUGUUUCACUGUUCAAUCCGAAUUUCCUGUGAUGUAGAUGAAACAAAUGAACUAUGCUUAGUGUCAACUGAUUCAAAAAAGCUCCUCUCUAAUCUCACCUCCUGGAAGGAAUGUUGGAAGAUAACACUCAGAAUCAUCAGAAUGAGGAGUUUAAUUGAUCAUAGGGAGGAGAAUGAAGAACAUGCUUUUCUUCGGCCUCUGAUAAUGGAUAAAGAAGUUAGUUAUUAUAGCUAUUUUGAUAGUUUUGUUGAAUAAGUUUGUAUAGAAAAAUUUUAGUCGCUUUAAUUAGUCAUUUGAAAUGGAUAAUAACUGUUCAAUGCACAGAUUUAA
Arachis ipaensis is the source of this 439-nucleotide non-coding RNA. Lineage: Eukaryota; Viridiplantae; Streptophyta; Magnoliopsida; Fabales; Fabaceae. The record is from RefSeq and is a predicted model, not a curated record.